Exophiala mesophila is the source of this 81-nucleotide transfer RNA. It matches the Rfam family "tRNA". From Rfam's summary of the family: Transfer RNA (tRNA) molecules are approximately 80 nucleotides in length. Their secondary structure includes four short double-helical elements and three loops (D, anti-codon, and T loops). NCBI's taxonomy places the organism in Eukaryota, Fungi, Ascomycota, Eurotiomycetes, Chaetothyriales, Herpotrichiellaceae. The record is from Rfam.
GCUCCGCUAGCUCAAUGGUAGGGCGUCAGACUUCUAUUUAUGGUAAUCUGAAGGCUGUGGGUUCGAGUCCCACGCGGAGUG